GAUGAACGCUGGCGGCAUGCUUAACACAUGCCAGUCGGACGGGGAGUGGUGUUUCCAGUGGCGGGCGGGUGAGUAACGCGUAAGAACCUGCUAUUGGGAGGGGAACAACAGCUGGAAACGGGUACUAAUACCCCAUAGUCUGGGGAGCACAAGGAAGAAUCCGCCCAAGGAAGGGCUGGCGUGUGAUUGGUUAGUUGGCGAGGCAAUGGCUUACCAAGGCGACGAGCAGUAGCUGGUACGAGAGGAGGAUCAGCCACACUGGGACUGAGACACGGCGCAGACUCCUACGGGGGGCAGCAGGGGGGAAUUUUCCGCAAUGGGCGAGAGCGUGACGGGGCAAUGCCGCGUGAGGGCAGAAGGCCCACGGGUCAUGAACUUCUUUUCUCGGAGAAGAAAAAAUGACGGUAGCUGAGGAAUAAGCAUCGGCUAACUCUGUG
Molecule: ribosomal RNA, 437 nt
Filed under: uncultured bacterium
Lineage: Bacteria
Description: partial 16S ribosomal RNA
Rfam family: Bacterial small subunit ribosomal RNA
Source: RNAcentral